GAUGAACGCUGGCGGCGUGCCUAAUACAUGCAAGUCGAGCGAAGCGGGGACGGGUGAGUAACACGUGGAUAACCUCCUAUAAGACUGGGAUAACUUCGGGAAACCGGAGCUAAACCGGAUGCUUAUAGAUGGAUCCGCGCUGCAUUAGCUAGUUGGUAAGGUAACGGCUUACCAAGGCAACGAUGCAUAGUCGACCUGAGAGGGUGUGCGGCCACACUGGAACUGAGACACGGUCCAGACGCCUACGGGGGGCAGCAGUAGGGAUUCUUCCGCAAUGGGUGAAAGCCUGACGGAGCAACGCCGCGUGAUUGAUGAAGUUCUUCGGAUCGUAAAACUCUUUUAUUAGGGAAGCGUUACCUAUUCAGAAUGCCACGGCUAACUACGUGCCGGCAGCCGCGGUUAUC
Molecule: ribosomal RNA, 404 nt
Filed under: uncultured bacterium
Lineage: Bacteria
Description: partial 16S ribosomal RNA
Rfam family: Bacterial small subunit ribosomal RNA
Source: RNAcentral